Molecule: long non-coding RNA, 1184 nt
Filed under: Corvus moneduloides (New Caledonian crow)
Lineage: Eukaryota; Metazoa; Chordata; Aves; Passeriformes; Corvidae
Description: lncRNA (ENSCMUG00000018281.1)
Source: RNAcentral
UAGAAUCCAACAUGAGGUUUCGUUCCUUCCCUCUGCAGCCACAAGGGGCCUCUGGCCACAGCAGUGCCCAUCAGCUGUGCCAGACAGAUGUGUUCCAUUCUCUGUUCCUGCUCCUGGGGGUCACAAUGGGGACUGGAGGAGCUGCUGGUGUGGCAGGAGCAGUGGCCACCCAGGCACUCCACAACUUUUCUCCAGACUGCCACACUGGCUUACUCAGCUCUGACCACCAGAGAGAGAUCAUGCAGCAGAGUUUGAAUGUGACUCUAUCCAGAAUUUCCUUAUCUCUCUGAGUCUGCUGGGAGUCUGAAAAACUGCUCUGAGCAAAGAAGUCAAGUAUGAGCCAUUUUCAAAAGAUUUUUGAUAUAUAGAACAGAAAAGGGGAGGAAGAAAGAGUCCAGAAAAAUUCAUCUGCUGCUGUUUCAAACUCGGGGACAGCAGCCCUGCUUCAAUACUGCAGAAGGUAUGUGGGGGUUCAGAUGGUGUUGGAACCCUGGAUUCUGAGAAUUUCAGCCUUUCAGUGCUGAGAGGCAGUGAUCCUCAGAAACACACUGUAUUCGAUCCAAAACCCUGGGAAAAGCUUCCUAAAUUGUGUGAUAACACUGAGGCUGUUGCUGUGUAAUUAAAAGUUAUGUCACUGGGUAAAAUAUGUAGAAAUGUAGAAAAUUAGAUUUAGAGCAUAUAGGUAAUAAUAGGUUACAACAUGGAGAAUUUUGGGUGUGGAUCUAUGCCUUCUUCCUCCUCCUUCUUCACAAACCUGAAUGUUCUGUCAUUGGGUCAAAAGUUCUGCACUGCAGAACAUGAAAAGUUAGUAAUUGGAUUGUAAGUAAAAACAUCUCAUAAUUGAUUAGUUUAGACUUCAAAAAGCUUGGAAAAUUAAAACUCAUGGCCAUUUUCCACCCUUCCAACAAAGAGGCACACUCUGUGCAGCUGUAUUACUGAUAAGAUAUAAUAAACAACUAAGUCCAAACAAGAAUUCUUGAUCUCCUGUGUCUCAAUUCAAACUGUGAGGAAAAGAACUCGAGAUGUAAAAAAAAAAAGAAUAAAAAGUAAUAAGAUGGCACCUCCCUCAGCUGCCCUAGCCCACUUUUAAAUGUCUUCAUCCACAUACCCACUUUCAUUUCUGACUGGUUUCACCUCAUCAAGGGCCGGGUGAGUCACAAUAUUUGGUAUUUCACCACCACCAG